CACGGGGGGAGCAAGCGUUGUUCGGAAUCACUGGGCGUAAAGGGCGUGUAGGCGGUCCGGUAAGUGAGAUGUGAAAUCCCUCGGCUCACCCGAGGACCUGCAUCUCAAACUGCCUGACUCGAGUACGGGAGAGGAUGUGGGAAUUCCUGGUGUAGCGGUGAAAUGCGUAGAUAUCAGGAGGAACACCGGUGGCGAAAGCGCACAUCUGGCCCGAUACUGACGCUGAGGCGCGAAAGCUAGGGGAGCAAACGGGAUUAGAUACCCGAGUAGU
This 271-nucleotide ribosomal RNA is filed under the name uncultured bacterium. RNAcentral's name for it is "partial 16S ribosomal RNA". It matches the Rfam family "Bacterial small subunit ribosomal RNA", at positions 524 to 794 of the family's 1533-position model. The record is from RNAcentral.